Molecule: ribosomal RNA, 253 nt
Filed under: uncultured bacterium
Lineage: Bacteria
Description: partial 16S ribosomal RNA
Rfam family: Bacterial small subunit ribosomal RNA
Source: RNAcentral
GACAGAGGAUGCAAGCGUUAUCCGGAAUGAUUGGGCGUAAAGCGUCUGUAGGUGGCUUUUCAAGUCCGCCGUCAAAUCCCAGGGCUCAACCCUGGACAGGCGGUGGAAACUACCAAGCUGGAGUACGGUAGGGGCAGAGGGAAUUUCCGGUGGAGCGGUGAAAUGCAUUGAUAUCGGAAAGAACACCAACGGCGAAAGCACACUACUGGGCCGACACUGACACUGAUACACGAAAGCUAGGGGAGCAAAUAGG